Molecule: ribosomal RNA, 467 nt
Filed under: uncultured bacterium
Lineage: Bacteria
Description: bacterial SSU rRNA
Rfam family: Bacterial small subunit ribosomal RNA
Source: RNAcentral
ACCAGACUCCUACGGGAGGCAGCAGUGAGGAAUAUUGGUCAAUGGCCGAGAGGCUGAACCAGCCAAGUCGCGUGAGGGAAGACGGUCCUACGGAUUGUAAACCUCUUUUGCCGGGGAGCAACGGGGUCCUUGCGAGGGCCCAAUGAGAGUACCCGGAGAAAAAGCAUCGGCUAACUCCGUGCCAGCAGCCGCGGUAAUACGGAGGAUGCGAGCGUUAUCCGGAUUUAUUGGGUUUAAAGGGUGCGUAGGCGGGCUGUUAAGUCAGCGGUCAAAUGUCGGGGCUCAACCCCGGCCUGCCGUUGAAACUGGCAGUCUCGAGUUGGAGAGAAGUAUGCGGAAUGCGCGGUGUAGCGGUGAAAUGCAUAGAUAUCGCGCAGAACUCCGAUUGCGAAGGCAGCAUGCCGGCUCCACACUGACGCUGAGGCACGAAAGCGUGGGUAUCGAACAGGAUUAGAUACCCCAGUACA